Molecule: long non-coding RNA, 208 nt
Filed under: Panax ginseng (ginseng)
Lineage: Eukaryota; Viridiplantae; Streptophyta; Magnoliopsida; Apiales; Araliaceae
Description: long non-coding RNA (PGIN_LNC005519)
Source: RNAcentral
UCUCCUCUUGUUACACAGUACAUCUCAGCUUUUUCACCGGGACUACUUUCUCCGCUGCAUUAGACCAUUAUGGCAACAAAACCAAGAAUCUUGAAGAAGAAAACGAAGACCAUCCUUUCCAUUAAAGUGCUUAAGAAUUUUUUUCGGCCUUAUCCUAAUCGAGGAUAAUGUUAAACAAUCGCAGCCUUGGAUAGUCCACUUACAAAUC